This 526-nucleotide ribosomal RNA is filed under the name Macrobrachium nipponense. Its description in RNAcentral is "partial 16S ribosomal RNA". It matches the Rfam family "Bacterial large subunit ribosomal RNA", at positions 1834 to 2620 of the family's 2925-position model. The record is from RNAcentral. Lineage: Eukaryota; Metazoa; Arthropoda; Malacostraca; Decapoda; Palaemonidae.
UGUGUAUAAGUUAUAAAGUCUAGCCUGCCCACUGAUUGAUUUAAAGGGCCGCGGUAAUUUGACCGUGCGAAGGUAGCAUAGUCAGUAGUCUUUUAAUUGAAGGCUUGAAUGAAAGGUUGGACGAGGGAUGAGCUGUCUCCUUUAUGUAAUUUGAAUUUAACUUUUGAGUGAAAAGGCUCAAAUUAUUUAGUGGGACGAUAAGACCCUAUAAAACUUUAUAUAAGUUUAAUUUGGCUUACAAUUUGAGUGAAAAGUAGCUUUACUAGGCUUAUAUUUCGUUGGGGAGAUGUAGAUAUAAUGUGUAACUGUCUGUUUAAUUUAAUAAUUAUAAUUAGUGUGUGAUCCUUCUUUGUGGAUUAAAAGUAUAAGUUACUUUAGGGAUAACAGCGUGAUUUUCUUUGAGAGUUCUUAUCGACAAGAGUAGUUGCGACCUCGAUGUUGAAUUAAAAUUUCAGUUAGGUGUAGCCGUCUAGCUGGUAGGUCUGUUCGACCUUUAAAAUUUUACAUGAUUUGAGUUCAAACCGGU